CCUACGGGUGGCUGCAGUGGGGAAUAUUGGACAAUGGGGGGAACCCUGAUCCAGCCAUGCCGCGUGUGUGAAGAAGGCCCUCGGGUUGUAAAGCACUUUCAGUGAGGAAGAACGCCUGGUGGUUAAUACCCAUCAGGAAAGACAUCACUCACAGAAGAAGCACCGGCUAACUCCGUGCCAGCAGCCGCGGUAAUACGGAGGGUGCGAGCGUUAAUCGGAAUUACUGGGCGUAAAGCGCGCGUAGGUGGCUUGAUAAGCCGGUUGUGAAAGCCCCGGGCUCAACCUGGGAACGGCAUCCGGAACUGUCAAGCUAGAGUGCAGGAGAGGAAGGUAGAAUUCCCGGUGUAGCGGUGAAAUGCGUAGAGAUCGGGAGGAAUACCAGUGGCGAAGGCGGCCUUCUGGACUGACACUGACACUGAGGUGCGAAAGCGUGGGUAGCAAACAGGAUUAGAUACCUAGUAGUC
Molecule: ribosomal RNA, 464 nt
Filed under: Vreelandella stevensii
Lineage: Bacteria; Pseudomonadati; Pseudomonadota; Gammaproteobacteria; Oceanospirillales; Halomonadaceae
Description: partial 16S ribosomal RNA
Rfam family: Bacterial small subunit ribosomal RNA
Source: RNAcentral